Populus euphratica (Euphrates poplar) is the source of this 1424-nucleotide long non-coding RNA. RefSeq lists it as uncharacterized. The transcript is spliced from 3 exons. NCBI's taxonomy places the organism in Eukaryota, Viridiplantae, Streptophyta, Magnoliopsida, Malpighiales, Salicaceae. The record is from RefSeq and is a predicted model, not a curated record.
UUCAUGUCAUGUCGUUUCUGCUGGGGGUGUUUUUGGUUUUUCCUUUUUUUAGUGAUGACUUAUCAGUUCUUGAGAGCCUUCAUCGCAAGGACUUUUCUUGAGGCUGGGUCUUGAAUUUCCAAUUAGCUCUUUAUUUCUUAUUUUCUUUUGCUUUCAAGUCUCGGCAUCACUCUUUGGCCAUUUGUUGCUACGUCAUCAGUGCACGAAGUCUUUUUUUUUUUCUUCUUCCAUUGGUUCUUCUCUUAUCCUUGGGUUAAUUUCCCAUGCUUUCACAUAUUUUUAUGGGUUGGAGUAGACAGAUUCAUUUGCAUUUUGUCGUGGUUUUCUUUCAUGCCUCUUUCUUUGGUUUUCUUUUUUUUGCUUUCUUUUCUGUUCAUAUGGUUUUCUACCAUUGGUGCUCAUUUUUGUAGAGCUCCUCUUCCUUUAGUUUGAUUUACAUGCUUUUGUUUUUUAUUUUUUUCUGUUGAUUUCAUUGAGUUUAUCUUCCUGAUUUUUUAGUUUCUUUUCUUUUAAUGUCGGUUUGUGUUGGUUAUCAUCACUAUCUCUGCACGAUCUUUUUUCAGUUGGUUUGCUGGAGCUUUUCAUUCCUUAGUGGAUGUUCUUCUUUCCCAGAGGUGUCAGCACUUCAGGUCAUUCUGCAGUCUACUAGCUUGGAUCUCGGGUGGAAGGAUAACUCACCGAUAAUAUGGGAACCUAUUGAUUUUUUUAGAGGGCUUUCAGACAUUAAUUUGAGGUUAAUUAGUCUUACUUCGGGUGACUUAUUGGAUCUUAAAACAUUGGAUUUUUGCACAGCACAUCACUUGCUGGAGAGAUACAGAACUUGGAAAGCCUUCAACAUCUCGAGAAAUCGUAUGCACGCAUCACUUGCUAGCAUCAAUUUUCAACUGAAAACAAAAUCCUGAGUAGCUUAUGUUGUUCUUAGUAAUGAUAUGGAAGAAAAAGAGGUCUAACUUCCAUAAUUUUGGUUAAUAUGCUGCCUAUUAGAUGGUAGACUAACCAAUCCUGCUGGUGAACCUGUUAUUAAGAGUGUUAGGACUAAAGAAGAAGGGAGAGACAAUGGGGAGGCUCUUCUUUCUCCUUUAUAAAUUUUAGCUACUGUUUCCAAUGAAAAAGCCAUAGGUAGUAUCCAGCUUUCUUAUGCAAAAAAAUCUGUUGAUUCUUUAGCGUUCAUGAGAUGUCAUGUGAUAUGUGAUGGCGACAAAUUCUGCUAGUCCUAGUGGAGUUGUAGGCUUUGUAUAUUUAUAUUUCAUAUAUUCUUGAGAAAUUCCUUGCUCUUAUAAGCUCUAGAUAUUACUUUGUUAAAUAAGUGAAUCAUAUGUCAACAUUUAUCUCUGUAGGAGUGUAAUUUGCAAUUCAAUUGACUUUAAACCUACCCUAUUUUUUUCAAUGUUGCAAUAGUUACAAUAACUAUAUUCUUUUUCACU